Long non-coding RNA from Rosa chinensis, 243 nucleotides. RefSeq lists it as uncharacterized. NCBI's taxonomy places the organism in Eukaryota, Viridiplantae, Streptophyta, Magnoliopsida, Rosales, Rosaceae. The transcript has 4 exons. The record is from RefSeq and is a predicted model, not a curated record.
GAGAUUGCUGGGAAACAUUUUCCAGGAGUAGAAUGCAAAUGGGGUGAUCAGGGUCUUGAGGAAAUUAUUGCAGAUAGUUCAAUUCUUGGUGUUGCUGUGGUUUUAGCUGGCCAAGUUCAGGUUGAUUUCUCACUGAAGCUUCUCAAAGCAGGGAAGAAUGUCCUUCAAGAGAAACCAGCAGCAGCUACUACAAGUGAAUUGGAAAUUGCAGUGUCAAGUUAUAAAUCUAUUGUUGCUAAUACC